This is a non-coding RNA of Pyrgilauda ruficollis (rufous-necked snowfinch), 390 nucleotides long. NCBI's taxonomy places the organism in Eukaryota, Metazoa, Chordata, Aves, Passeriformes, Passeridae. The record is from the annotation of a RefSeq genome assembly.
AUGAGGAGGUGGCUCCGGGCGGCCGUGACCCUGCUGGAGUCCGGGGGGGACCUCCAGCCCCCCGGGGGGUCCCUGCGCCUCCUCUGCCGAGGGUCUGGGUUCGAUUUUGGACGAACCAGUCUGAUGUGGGUUCGCCAGGGACCCGGGCAGGGCCUGGAGUGGGUCGCGUGGAUCUACUACAAUGGUGCCAGCACCAACUACGCGCCAUCGUUGAAGGGCCGGGUGACGAUCUCCAGGGACAACGGGCAGAGCUCGGUGACGCUGACCAUGAACAGCCUCAAGGACGAGGAUUCCGGAUCCUAUUUCUGUGCCAAAGAGUCUGGUGCUUACGUUGCUGACGAUCCUUCCCUCCAACCCUUGUCAGAUGAGAUUGGUCAGAAUUUGGUGUGA